UACGGAGGGGUCGAGCGUUAUUCGGAAUUAUUGGGCGUAAAGGGCGCGUAGGCGGCUUGGUGAGUCAAAGGUGAAAUCCCUCGGCUCAACUGAGGAACUGCCUUUGAAACUGUCUGGCUUGAGGCCGGGAGAGGGUAGCGGAAUUCCCAGUGUAGCGGUGAAAUGCGUAGAUACUGGGAGGAACACCGGUGGCGAAGGCGGCUACCUGGACCGGUUCUGACGCUGAUGCGCGAAAGCGUGGGUAGCAAACAGG
Molecule: ribosomal RNA, 253 nt
Filed under: uncultured bacterium
Lineage: Bacteria
Description: partial 16S ribosomal RNA
Rfam family: Bacterial small subunit ribosomal RNA
Source: RNAcentral